CAACCCUUAAGCCUAGCUUAGUGUUGGGAAUCGGCUGUAUUGCCGUUCCUUAAAGACAGUGGCGGAGCGAUAGUUGUCCUCUGAGCGUAGUAAAUUCAUUUCUCGCUUCUGUAAGGCUCUAUCUUCUCGCCAUAAAACCCCCAAUUUUUUAGU
Molecule: unclassified non-coding RNA, 153 nt
Filed under: uncultured Arthrinium
Lineage: Eukaryota; Fungi; Ascomycota; Sordariomycetes; Amphisphaeriales; Apiosporaceae
Description: sequence contains ITS2
Source: RNAcentral